CUCAACUUUAUUUUUUAAAUCUGUUCUGAAUAAAGUCUGUAAGUGCAGACUCUGUAGAAAAUGAUUUUGGGGGGCGCCUGGGUGCCCCAAGGCUUGAAAGUCUUAUUUACAAAUUAGGUACUGUUGCCAGAGAGAGAACUUAUAGGUAUUUUUAU
This is a long non-coding RNA of Panthera uncia (snow leopard), 155 nucleotides long. RefSeq lists it as uncharacterized. Lineage: Eukaryota; Metazoa; Chordata; Mammalia; Carnivora; Felidae. The record is from RefSeq and is a predicted model, not a curated record. The transcript has 2 exons.